Molecule: long non-coding RNA, 2202 nt
Organism: Oncorhynchus tshawytscha (Chinook salmon)
Lineage: Eukaryota; Metazoa; Chordata; Actinopteri; Salmoniformes; Salmonidae
Source: Ensembl
AGAUACUGGAGAAUCAGGUUAAUGGGGGUAGUUAGAUACUGGAGAAUCAGGGUAACGAGGGGAUAUGAGGAGCGAUUGGAGGUAGUUAGAUACUGGAGAAUCAGGUUAAUGGGGAGAGAUGGGAGGUAGUUAGAUACUGGAGAAUCAGGUUAAUGGGGAGAGAUGGGAGGUAGUUAGAUACUGGAGAAUCAGGUUAAUGGGGAGAGAUGGGAGGUAGUUAGAUACUGGAGAAUCAGGUUAAUGGGGAGAGAUGGGAGGUAGUUAGAUACUGGAGAAUCAGGUUAAUGGGGAGAGAUGGGAGGUAGUUAGAUAUGAAGAGAGAUGGAAGGUAGUUAGAAGAUAUAAAAUGUGAAGAUUUUAACACUGAUGCCAAAGACACACUUUGAAACACCUUCACGACAGAAGCUCAAGCAGAUGGAAAAUGUGAGAUUUGACUCUGAAAGAAAUGAAUGUUUUGUCCUGAAUAGAAUGUUGCCAUUUAUAUGUCAGAGCAAAAGCUCAGCAGGAAAAUACUGUAUUACUAGAUUGGGAAUCAAAACUGUCCCCUGGGAUAUUUUUGGCAGCACAACACCGUGUCAUCUGAAUGUUAAAUCGUGAUUUAUACUGUCUAUUUACAUUUAAUUCAGACAAGAGCUGAAAUAUUAGUAACAUGCUUGUCUCUAUGGUAAUAUACAGUAUAUUAUAAUGGUAACAUAUCAUGCUUGUCUCUAUGGUAAUAUACAGUAUAUUAUAAUAUUAGUAACAUAUCAUGCUUGUCUCUAUGGUAAUAUACGGUAUAUUAUAAUAUUAGUAACAUGCUUGUCUCUCUGGUAAUAUACAGUAUAUUAUAAUAUUAGUAACAUGCUUGUCUCUAUGGUAAUAUACAGUAUAUUAUAAUAUUAGUAACAUGCUUGUCUCUAUGGUAAUAUACAGUAUAUUAUAAUAUUAGUAACAUGCUUGUCUCUAUGGUAAUAUACAGUAUAUUAUAAUGGUAACAUAUCAUGCUUGUCUCUAUGGUAAUAUACAGUAUAUUAUAAUAUUAGUAACAUGCUUGUCUCAUUGGUAAUAUACAGUAUAUUAUAAUAUUAGUAACAUGCUUGUCUCUAUGGUAAUAUACAGUAUAUUAUAAUAUUAGUAACAUGCUUGUCUCUAUGGUAAUACAGUAUAUUAUAAUAUUAGUAACAUGCUUGUCUCUAUGGUAAUAUACAGUAUAUUAUAAUAUUAGUAACAUAUCAUGCUUGUCUCUAUGGUAAUAUACAGUAUAUUAUAAUAUUAGUAACAUAUCAUGCUUGUCUCUAUGGUAAUAUACAGUAUAUUAUAAUAUUAGUAACAUGCUUGUCUCUAUGGUAAUAUACAGUAUAUUAUAAUAUUAGUAUCAUGCUUGUCUCUAUGGUAAUACAGUAUAUUAUAAUAUUAGUAACAUGCUUGUCUCUAUGGUAAUAUACAGUAUAUUAUAAUAUUAGUAACAUGCUUGUCUCUAUGGUAAUAUACAGUAUAUUAUAAUGGUAACAUAUCAUGCUUGUCUCUAUGGUAAUAUACAGUAUAUUAUAAUAUUAGUAACAUGCUUGUCUCUAUGGUAAUAUACAGUAUAUUAUAAUAUUAGUAACAUAUCAUGCUUGUCUCUGGUAAUAUACAGUAUAUUAUAAUAUUAGUAACAUGCUUGUCUCUAUGGUAAUAUACAGUAUAUUAUAGCAUUAUAGAGAUAUAUGGAGUGCAGGACUAGGACUAUAGACAGUAUAUUAUAGCGUUAUGGAGAUAUAUGGAGUGCAGGACUAGGACUAUAGACAGUAUAUUAUAGCGUUAUGGAGAUAUAUGGAGUGCAGGACUAGGACUAUAGACAGUAUAUUAUAGCGUUAUGGAGAUAUAUGGAGUGCAGGACUAGGAGUAUAUACAAGCCAGCGUCACUGUAUUACAAUUAAUAGCUAUUGAGUUAAUGAAUAUAUUUAUUCCAUAUCAUGAUUAUGUCUUUCACUACUGUAGAGAGAGAAUUCUCCCCUUUAAAAACUUCUAGUAUGUGCUUGGCCAUUCUGAGCCUUAUGAGUCGAUGGUCUACCAUUCUGAGCCUUAUGAGUCGAUGGUCUACCAUUCUGAGCCUUAUGAAUGGAUGGUCUACCAUUCUGAGCCUUAUGAAUGGAUGGUCUACCAUUCUGAGCCUUGUGGAUGGAUGGUCUACCAUUCUGAGCCUUGUGGAUGGAUGGUCUACCAUUCUGAGCCUUGUGGAUG